RNAcentral lists this non-coding RNA (167 nucleotides) under human gut metagenome. RNAcentral describes it as "Lysine riboswitch". It matches the Rfam family "Lysine riboswitch aptamer". From Rfam's summary of the family: Riboswitches are metabolite binding domains within certain messenger RNAs that serve as precision sensors for their corresponding targets. The record is from RNAcentral.
AAUAGAGGUUGCGGGAUGCAUCAGUAUUCUGCCGGAGGAGGCCGUGCUCCCCGGAUGGCAGAGGAAAGGGCCACCGCCGAAGUUCCGUCUGUUGCGGUGCAGGCGGCGCUGGACGCAGCUGUCAACAGCGCUGCGGCUGUCAUCCGAGGAUGGAUGGAGUGCUAUUC